This 872-nucleotide small RNA is filed under the name Synodontella zambezensis. RNAcentral's name for it is "bacterial SSU rRNA". The stretch from base 1 to 485 matches the Rfam family "Eukaryotic small subunit ribosomal RNA", at positions 1352 to 1831 of the family's 1831-position model. Lineage: Eukaryota; Metazoa; Platyhelminthes; Monogenea; Dactylogyridea; Ancylodiscoididae. The record is from RNAcentral.
UAUGUGGGCUUCAUCUCGUUGCAUUAGCAACGGUCUGGACUCACAUAAGCAUGUGGAACUUCUUAGAGGGACUGGUAAUCUGAUUAAAAGUACACGAGGAAGAGCAAUAACAGGUCUGUGAUGCCCUAAGAUGUCCGGGGCCGCACGCGUGCUACAAUGACGAUGCAAGUGAGCAUGAUUCGCCUGUUCCGCAAGGCUCGGGUAAACUGUUCAAUCAUCGUCAUGACUGGGAUUGGGGUUUGUAAUUAUCCCCCAUGAACGAGGAAUUCCUAGUAAGCACAAGUCAUAAGCUUGUGCUGACUACGUCCCUGCCCUUUGUACACACCGCCCGUCGCUACUACCGAUUGAAUGGUUUAGCAAGGUCAUUGGAUUGGCUUAUCGUGGCUUACGCUGCUUUGGACUGAGAAGAUGACCGAACUUGAUCAUUUAGAGGAAGUAAAAGUCGUAACAAGGUUUCCGUAGGUGAACCUGCGGAAGGAUCAUUAUCUAUUGUUCCACAACAACUGUGCUCUUGGGCCAUUUAGCCCAUAGCCGACGAUCUACGAGCUCGCUCAGGAUCGGAUUGUACGGUGCAGAAGUGCAACCUUCCACACGCCCUUGGUAGUGGAUAUGGUUGCGCAAUUGUUGACGGAGGCCAGGCUCUGAAUGGCGAUGCUCCAGUAGCAGGGUGCAUCAUCACCUUUCAGAACCGACUGUAUUUUGCCCGCAUGCCUCUGGUCAACCUGCUACAGGUGUGUACUUUUCACUUUGAUCAUUCGGAAUUAAAACUUGCCACGUGCACUGACUGCACUGGCAAUACCCAAAAUGACCGACCAGGCCUAGCUGAGUCGGUGAUCGCGGGAUCAGUGAUCACUAUGGUGUCAUGAAAACAU